GGAAUAUUGGUCAAUGGGCGAAAGCCUGAACCAGCAACGCCGCGUGAGGGAUGACACACUAAGGUGCGUAAACCUCUGUUAGGAGGGACGAACACUUCCGAUGAUCUCGGGAGCUGACGGUACCUCCAGAGAAAGCCCCGGCUAACUCCGUGCCAGCAGCCGCGGUAAUACGGAGGGGGCAAGCGUUGUCCGGAAUCACUGGGCGUAAAGGGCGUGUAGGCGGGAUUGUAAGUCAGUGGUGAAAUCUUGGGGCUCAACCCCAAGCCUGCCUCUGAGACUGCAGUUCUUGAGUUCGGAAGAGGGAAGCGGAAUUCCCGGUGUAGCGGUGAAAUGCGUAGAUAUCGGGAAGAACACCAGUAGCGAAGGCGGCUUCCUGGUCCGUAACUGACGCUGAUACGCGAAAGCGUGGGGAGCAAAC
RNAcentral lists this ribosomal RNA (418 nucleotides) under uncultured bacterium. RNAcentral's name for it is "bacterial SSU rRNA". It matches the Rfam family "Bacterial small subunit ribosomal RNA", at positions 358 to 773 of the family's 1533-position model. The record is from RNAcentral.